AGUUGUAGUGAGGGCUGAUAAUAGUGAGUGCAGGUGAAUUAUGGGAGUUGUAGUGAUUGCUGAUAAUAGUGGGUGCAGGUGAAUUAUGGGAGUUGUAGUGAGGGCUGAUUGAUAGUGGGUGCAGGUGAAUUAUGGGAGUUGUAGUGAGGGCUGAUUGAUAGUGGGUGCAGGUGAAUUAUGGGAGUUGUAGUGAGGGCUGAUAAUAGUGGGUGCAGGUGAAUUAUGGGAGUUGUAGUGAGGGCUGAUAAUAGUGGGUGCAGGUGAAUUAUGGGAGUUGUAGUGAGGGCUGAUAAUAGUGGGUGCAGGUGAAUUAUGGGAGUUGUAGUAAGGGCUGAUAAUAGUGGGUGCAGGUGAAUUAUGGGAGUUGUAGUGAGGGCUGAUAAUAGUGGGUGCAGGUGAAUUAUGGGAGUUGUAGUGAGGGCUGAUAAUAGUGGGUGCAGGUGAAUUAUGGGAGUUGUAGUGAGGGCUGAUAAUAGUGGGUGCAGGUGAAUUAUGGGAGUUGUAGUGAGGGCUGAUAAUAGUGGGUGCAGGUGAAUUAUGGGAGUUGUAGUGAGGGCUGAUAAUAGUGGGUGCAGGUGAAUUAUGGGAGUUGUAGUAAGGGCUGAUAAUAGUGGGUGCAGGUGAAUUAUGGGAGUUGUAGUGAGGGCUGAUAAUAGUGGGUGCAGGUGAAUUAUGGGAGUUGUAGUGAGGGCUGAUAAUAGUGGGUGCAGGUGAAUUAUGGGAGUUGUAGUGAGGUCUGAUAAUAGUGGGUGCAGGUGAAUUAUGGGAGAUGUAGUAAGGGCUGAUAAUAGUGGGUUCAGGUGAAUUAUGGGAGUUGUAGUGAGGUCUGAUAAUAGUGGGUGCAGGUGAAUUAUGGUAGUUGUAGUAAGGGCUGAUAAUAGUGGGUGCAGGUGAAUUAUGGGAGUUGUAGUAAGGGCUGAUAAUAGUGGGUACAGGUGAAUUAUGGGAGUUGUAGUGAG
Astyanax mexicanus (Mexican tetra) is the source of this 959-nucleotide long non-coding RNA. RefSeq lists it as uncharacterized. The record is from RefSeq and is a predicted model, not a curated record. The transcript is spliced from 3 exons. NCBI's taxonomy places the organism in Eukaryota, Metazoa, Chordata, Actinopteri, Characiformes, Acestrorhamphidae.